Paramuricea clavata is the source of this 208-nucleotide non-coding RNA. The record is from the annotation of a GenBank genome assembly. Lineage: Eukaryota; Metazoa; Cnidaria; Anthozoa; Malacalcyonacea; Plexauridae.
CUCUACUAUUAAACCUUUAAUAACUCUUCAGAAAAAAGCUAUACGUGUUAUAUCUUUUUCCAAUUACCAAGCACAUACAAGCCCCCUUUUCUUUAAACUAAACAUUUUAAAAGUUCCUGAUAUUGUUUUAUUUAAUACCGCAUUAUUUAUGUAUGAAUAUAAUCAAGGAACACUUCCAAAAGUUUUUGAUGAAAUGUUUACUCCUGUU